Molecule: ribosomal RNA, 253 nt
Filed under: uncultured bacterium
Lineage: Bacteria
Description: partial 16S ribosomal RNA
Rfam family: Bacterial small subunit ribosomal RNA
Source: RNAcentral
UACGAAGGGGGCUAGCGUUGCUCGGAAUCACUGGGCGUAAAGCGCACGUAGGCGGACUCUUAAGUCGGUGGUGAAAUCCUGGAGCUCAACUCCAGAACUGCCUUUGAUACUGGGAAGCUCGAGUCCGGAAGAGGUGAGUGGAACUCCGAGUGUAGAGGUGAAAUUCGUAGAUAUUCGGAAGAACACCAGUGGCGAAGGCGGCUCACUGGUCCGGUACUGACGCUGAGGUGCGAAAGCGUGGGGAGCAAACAGG